RNAcentral lists this ribosomal RNA (429 nucleotides) under Chloroflexota bacterium. RNAcentral describes it as "Chloroflexi bacterium partial 16S ribosomal RNA". It matches the Rfam family "Bacterial small subunit ribosomal RNA", at positions 355 to 776 of the family's 1533-position model. Lineage: Bacteria; Bacillati; Chloroflexota. The record is from RNAcentral.
UGGGGAAUAUUGCACAAUGGGCGCAAGCCUGAUGCAGCCAUGCCGCGUGUAUGAAGAAGGCCUUCGGGUUGUAAAGUACUUUCAGUCGGGAGGAAGGUGUCAAGGUUAAUAACCUUGGCAAUUGACGUUACCGACACAAGAAGCACCGGCUAACUCCGUGCCAGCAGCCGCGGUAAUACGGAGGGUGCAAGCGUUAAUCGGAAUUACUGGGCGUAAAGCGCACGCAGGCGGUUUGUUAAGUCAGAUGUGAAAUCCCCGGGCUCAACCUGGGAACUGCAUCUGAUACUGGCAAGCUUGAGUCUCGUAGAGGGGGGUAGAAUUCCAGGUGUAGCGGUGAAAUGCGUAGAGAUCUGGAGGAAUACCGGUGGCGAAGGCGGCCCCCUGGACGAAGACUGACGCUCAGGUGCGAAAGCGUGGGGAGCAAACAGG